Molecule: unclassified non-coding RNA, 203 nt
Filed under: Hevea brasiliensis (rubber tree)
Lineage: Eukaryota; Viridiplantae; Streptophyta; Magnoliopsida; Malpighiales; Euphorbiaceae
Source: RNAcentral
AAUUUCAUGUGUCAUUAGACAAGUUUGAGCCCCCAGAUGGAAAGUUUUCAAGCGUUGCUUCACAACCUACUUAAAGCUUAAUUUACAACGACGAAGUGGCUGAGAUGUUAUAAAGCUUUCACGAAAGAAGUGAGACGAGAGAAACAAACUCCAAAGUGACCCGUCCCUUGGAACGUGUAUUGAUGACAAAAUGCUCUGGGUAU